CCUACGGGUGGCAGCAGUAGGGAAUAUUGCUCAAUGGGGGAAACCCUGAAGCAGCAACGCCGCGUGGAGGAUGAAGGUCUUCGGAUUGUAAACUCCUUUUGUUAGAGAAGAUAAUGACGGUAUCUAACGAAUAAGCACCGCCUAACUCCGUGCCAGCAGCCGCGGUAAUACGGAGGGUGCAAGGGUUACUCGGAAUCACUGGGCGUAAAGAGCGCGUAGGCGGGAGAGAAGGUCAGAUGUGAAAGCCUAUGGCUAACGGAUUGAACUGCAUUUGAAACUGUUAUUCUGGAGUACGGGAGAGGUAGGAGGAAUGUUUGGUGUAGCGGUGAAAUGCAUAGAGAUCA
Molecule: ribosomal RNA, 344 nt
Filed under: uncultured bacterium
Lineage: Bacteria
Description: partial 16S ribosomal RNA
Rfam family: Bacterial small subunit ribosomal RNA
Source: RNAcentral